Molecule: ribosomal RNA, 121 nt
Filed under: Crenobacter oryzisoli
Lineage: Bacteria; Pseudomonadati; Pseudomonadota; Betaproteobacteria; Neisseriales; Neisseriaceae
Description: partial 16S ribosomal RNA
Rfam family: Bacterial small subunit ribosomal RNA
Source: RNAcentral
GAACUGAAGAGUUUGAUCCUGGCUCAGAUUGAACGCUGGCGGAAUGCUUUACACAUGCAAGUCGAACGGCAGCACGGACUUCGGUCUGGUGGCGAGUGGCGAACGGGUGAGUAACGCAUCG